AAUUGAGGUCUGGUCCCGACCGAAAGGUUAACCUUUUGUUAACCUUUCGGCGGCAGUCUGACAUCAAUACCCGCUUGCUCCUUGACCACGGAUGAACUGGCACCGAGCCGAGCGGAUGACGAAAGGCCGGGCGACCGGCCUUUUUGUAU
RNAcentral lists this small RNA (149 nucleotides) under Rhizobium sp. BK049. RNAcentral describes it as "sRNA ar35". The record is from RNAcentral. Lineage: Bacteria; Pseudomonadati; Pseudomonadota; Alphaproteobacteria; Hyphomicrobiales; Rhizobiaceae.